Ictalurus punctatus (channel catfish) is the source of this 1798-nucleotide long non-coding RNA. RefSeq lists it as uncharacterized. The transcript has 3 exons. Lineage: Eukaryota; Metazoa; Chordata; Actinopteri; Siluriformes; Ictaluridae. The record is from RefSeq and is a predicted model, not a curated record.
GUGAGAUACUGUAUCUCAUAUUCGGUGCUACUAUCACACAGGAGGAGAUAAUCGCUCUUCCGUCAUUGGUUUUCAAUAAGAGGUGGGUGAGCAGGAAAAACAAAGAGCGUAGAGUGGCAGGUCGGAGAUUUUCGAGAUGCAAACUUGUGCCUUUGAUGCAAAAUUUCUCAACUUCUGAGGUAGAGAGAACGGCAUGAGGAAUGGACUACAUUCCCAAUCUGGCUAGCAAAUAGUUGACAUAGAAGAAGGAAAUGAGCACAUUAUAUGGUUAAUCUUUCUCAGAUUGCAAUUAAAUUACCAUCUUGGAUGUAGCACGCUGUUGCCAUGGAUACCUUGCAAGAAAUGGAAAGGUUUGAAUGUUGUUUGCAUGAAACAACAUUCUGAAGAGAAAACCCGGUGGAACAGAGAGCGAUUUGUCACGUCUCGUGUGAAAAGCCUUUUAUUUGUUCUACAGGAUCCAGUGGAGAAGGUUUCAUAGUAGUAACCCUGUGAUUUCAGCAUUCUUUUUAGCGUAUAUCCCUAGCUCUUUUGCCUUGCAGUGCCCUUGUUAUAGCACAAAAAAAAAACGCAUAACUACAAUUACCAACUGGUGAAUAGUUACAGUGUACUCAAUAUGAAAAUACUGCUAAGUUCAUCUAUUUAUAUAUAACAAAUUACAAUGUUUAAUUCUGUAUAUUCUGGUUUAAAUAUAUAGCAGGUUUUUCUCUCCUCCCCAUGCAAAUCUUAGAGAUUAUGUUCUUUUUGCAUAUGUUUACAUUAAGUGAUGUGUGGUUGGGAGAAAUGUGCUGAGUUGUCACAGAUGAGAGGAAAGAUCAACAGAGCUCAGAUCCUUCAAAGCAGAGAAGAUGAAAUUCAUUUCGAUUUUCUUCCUGGUAGGAAGUUGUUGCUUGGUUGAAGGUAUGAUAAAAGAGUAUAUUUACUAUCCUGGAGCAACAUAUUGGUAUGAUGCUCAGUGGCAGUGCAGAUUACACCACAGUGAUCUGGCUACCAUCAGCACCGCAGAAGAACAGCAGCGACUUGUAGAGAGUUUUGAUUUCAGCAGUGGGCCAGCUUGGAUUGGACUGUACACAGAAAGUGUAAUCUCAGAGUGGCAGUGGUCUAAUGGAGAGCCAGUUUCUUUCUUACCAUGGUAUCCUGACUAUCCUGAUAACAUUUAUAACAUAACCACUGAUACUUUUGACCAAUAUUAUGACAUUUACAAAACCUGUGCUUUUUUGGAACAAGGACAAUGGGUAGAGGACUUCUGUUGGGAGGGUCAUCCAUACUACUGUUAUAGAUAUUUGAUUUUGGUGAAUGAGAGUAAGACUUGGGAGGAGGCUCUUCAGUACUGCACCACUAAGUACACCGGCUUGGCCUCUCUGCCCAACGCAACACAAGUGCUUCAGGCAAAAACGGAGCUCGCACUGACCCAAACAGAGAGUGUGUGGACCGGCCUGUGCUUCAUGGAUGGAAACUGGUUCUGGCUUAGUGGAGAGCCAACGCAGAGCCUGGAUUUACUUCCAUCAUGUCCAGCUCAUCCUUAUCGCUGCGGAGCUCUCAACAACAACACAAACAUCUGGGAGAACCGAGACUGCAACGAGAAUCUGAAUUUCCUCUGCUACUGGAAUAUUAUGUAGUGAUCUCUGGCUGCACCCCUGCAUUACAUAUGACUUUCCACAAGAAGAGAUCUCCUACAGGAAGAUUACAUGCAUGACACUUUUCUUUUUCUUUUUUUUUUGUUAACUGAUUAAGAUGUAUCAUAUGUUUGGCUUUCCUUAAUCAUAGAUCAUUUAUAUACCAUUGAACCUGAAUGUCAGGC